RNAcentral lists this ribosomal RNA (274 nucleotides) under uncultured bacterium. RNAcentral describes it as "partial 16S ribosomal RNA". It matches the Rfam family "Bacterial small subunit ribosomal RNA", at positions 523 to 796 of the family's 1533-position model. The record is from RNAcentral.
AUACGGAGGGUGCAAGCGUUACUCGGAAUCACUGGGCGUAAAGCGCGCGCAGGCGGUCUUUUAAGUUGGAUGUGAAAGCCUACGGCUCAACCGUAGAACUGCAUCCAAAACUAUUAGACUAGAGUGUGGGAGAGGAAGAUGGAAUUAGUUGUGUAGGGGUAAAAUCCGUAGAGAUAACUAGGAAUACUAAAAGCGAAGGCAAUCUUCUGGAACACUACUGACGCUGAGGCGCGAAAGCGUGGGGAGCAAACGGGAUUAGAAACCCCAGUAGUCC